CAGCUGUAAACGAUGCAGGCUAGGUGUUUGGACGGCCACGUGCCGUUCUAGUGCCGCAGGGAAGCUGUUAAGCCUGCCGCCUGGGGGAGUACGAUCGCAAGAUUGAAACUUAAAGGAAUUGGCGGGGGAGCACCACAAGGGGUGAAGCUUGCGGUUUAAUUGGAGUCAACGCCGGAAAUCUCACCGGGAGCGACAGCAGUGUGAAGGCCAGAUUAAAGGUCUUGCCAGACGAGCUGAGAGGAGGUGCAUGGCGUAGACGUCU
RNAcentral lists this ribosomal RNA (262 nucleotides) under uncultured archaeon. RNAcentral's name for it is "partial 16S ribosomal RNA". It matches the Rfam family "Archaeal small subunit ribosomal RNA", at positions 748 to 1009 of the family's 1478-position model. The record is from RNAcentral.